This 578-nucleotide ribosomal RNA is filed under the name Vibrio sp. KR08-07. Its description in RNAcentral is "bacterial SSU rRNA". It matches the Rfam family "Bacterial small subunit ribosomal RNA", at positions 67 to 636 of the family's 1533-position model. The record is from RNAcentral. Lineage: Bacteria; Pseudomonadati; Pseudomonadota; Gammaproteobacteria; Vibrionales; Vibrionaceae.
CUGAACCUUCGGGGAACGUUAAGGGCGUCGAGNGNCGGACGGGUGAGUAAUGCCUGGGAAAUUGCCCUGAUGUGGGGGAUAACCAUUGGAAACGAUGGCUAAUACCGCAUAAUAGCUUCGGCUCAAAGAGGGGGACCUUCGGGCCUCUCGCGUCAGGAUAUGCCCAGGUGGGAUUAGCUAGUUGGUGAGGUAAGGGCUCACCAAGGCGACGAUCCCUAGCUGGUCUGAGAGGAUGAUCAGCCACACUGGAACUGAGACACGGUCCAGACUCCUACGGGAGGCAGCAGUGGGGAAUAUUGCACAAUGGGCGCAAGCCUGAUGCAGCCAUGCCGCGUGUAUGAAGAAGGCCUUCGGGUUGUAAAGUACUUUCAGCAGUGAGGAAGGUGGUGUGNUUAAUACNCNCAUCACUUGACGUUAGCUGCAGAAGAAGCACCGGCUAACUCCGUGCCAGCAGCCGCGGUAAUACGGAGGGUGCGAGCGUUAAUCGGAAUUACUGGGCGUAAAGCGCAUGCAGGUGGUUUGUUAAGUCAGAUGUGNAAAGCCCGGGGCUCNACCUCGGNAAUAGCAUUUGAAACUGG